CGUGUUACUCUGUCCUGUUUGAGUGGCUGUAAUGUACAAGUCGCAUCAACACAGUCACAGGAAAACAAGGUAACGGCGAGUUGUCAAGAUACCACCAAUCACAACGGAAAGAGCAUAUGCUUCGGAUAAAAACUCACCUUGUAACGGAGCAGGGGCCCCACAGCCGGCAGCGGAGCAGACCGGCGGCGGAACACGGUGAGUCAACUCCUGAGCUUCAUCCCUCAUCACAUCACCAAGGCCGUCCUCACAACACACACGGCCGAGUCUGCAGGUGAGUCAACUCCCAGCCAGACUCCCAGUGAUGAGGAGAGCCAGCUAUUCUCUCAGUUUAUCCCUGAGACCACCAAUGAGGAAAUGCUUGAGCAGUAUGGAUCUUGGAUCAGAAAACCCAAAAUCUUCCAGAGGGCUUUUCUCAAC
Molecule: long non-coding RNA, 417 nt
Organism: Perca flavescens (yellow perch)
Lineage: Eukaryota; Metazoa; Chordata; Actinopteri; Perciformes; Percidae
Exons: 3
Source: RefSeq, a predicted model, not a curated record